CCAGAGCCGCCCCCGGAACCGCCCCUCCCCGCCGCGACCGCACAGUUACACUCGCACUGCUUCAUCCGCUGGAAUUUAACAAGGACGCGGCCGUGUACAAACGGGAUUGCUGUCUUUCCGAAAGCCUCAGCCUCUGCAGGGUCUCUGGAAGUGCUGGCUGACAGCGCUUGUUUCACUGCCCAGUAGCUGGGUAGCCUAGAACUGCUCUUUAUCCACCCAACAUGCACACCCCCGAGGCAUCUCCAGCUUCCAGGAUAAAGCCUGCCCUGCUUGAGGUUGUGUAUUAGCACUGCUGGAGUUGAGCAAGGCCUGUAGCCAACAGCUGAGUGCACCAAAGACAGAAGAACCUUUUCUCCUCUAAAGACCAGCUGCCUUCACCUAAGGGUCCCAAGAAGCAGAAAGCAAGAGACAGAAGUGCCCGACAGCAGACACAUAGAAUUAAGCAAACAGUCCACAUUGCAGUAACUCCUGUAACUUCACCACCUCCACCAUCAAUUCUGUUCCCAAAUUCCCUCAGCUGAAGUGGAUUUGCCACCUUGCAGGCUCAGUUCUCUGGGUUAACAGCUGCUACAGAGACUGGAGUCAGGCCACCAUCAUUCCAGGAACCACUUGCAGGUCAGCAACCAACUCCCUUCACCCACCACAAAAUCAGGGCCUUGUGUUGGCUGCAGUGUCAGUUGUUUUCAAGAGGAGGAAAAAUUAAAAUAUUAUUUUUA
Molecule: long non-coding RNA, 716 nt
Organism: Parus major (Great Tit)
Lineage: Eukaryota; Metazoa; Chordata; Aves; Passeriformes; Paridae
Exons: 2
Source: RefSeq, a predicted model, not a curated record